UGGGUUGAUGAUGACUACUGGUGGCAUAUGAGUCAUCUACAAUGAAUAUGUCUCUGGAACUCUGAGGUGUGUCACAAAAGAAAUCUAGCCCAU
This is a small nucleolar RNA of Cercocebus atys (sooty mangabey), 93 nucleotides long. Lineage: Eukaryota; Metazoa; Chordata; Mammalia; Primates; Cercopithecidae. The record is from Ensembl.